RNAcentral lists this ribosomal RNA (406 nucleotides) under uncultured bacterium. Its description in RNAcentral is "partial 16S ribosomal RNA". It matches the Rfam family "Bacterial small subunit ribosomal RNA", at positions 29 to 526 of the family's 1533-position model. The record is from RNAcentral.
AUUGAACGCUGGCGGCAGGCCUAACACAUGCAAGUCGAACGAGUGGCGGACGGGUGAGUAAUGUCUGGGAACCUGCCUGAUGGAGGGGGAUAACUACUGGAAACGGUAGCUAAUACCGCAUACCAUCGGAUGUGCCCAGAUGGGAUUAGCUAGUAGGGGGGGUCACGGCUCACCUAGGCGACGAUCCCUAGCUGGUCUGAGAGGAUGACCAGCCACAGUGGAACUGAGACACGGUCCAGACUCCGACGGGAGGCAGCAGUGGGGAAUAGUGGACAAUGGGCGCAAGGCUGAUGCAGCCAUGCCGCGUGUAUGAAGAAGGACUUCGGGUUGUAAAGUACUUUCAGCGGGGAGGCGUUACCCGCAGAAGAAGCACCGGCUAACUCCGUGCCAGCAGCCGCGGUAAUUC